RNAcentral lists this ribosomal RNA (253 nucleotides) under uncultured bacterium. RNAcentral describes it as "partial 16S ribosomal RNA". It matches the Rfam family "Bacterial small subunit ribosomal RNA", at positions 524 to 776 of the family's 1533-position model. The record is from RNAcentral.
UACAGAGGGUGCAAGCGUUGUUCGGAAUUAUUGGGCGUAAAGGGUGCGUAGGCGGUGAUGUAAGACAGAUGUGAAAUCCCCGGGCUCAACCUGGGAACUGCAUUUGUGACUGCAUCGCUAGAGUACGGCAGAGGGGGAUGGAAUUCCGCGUGUAGCAGUGAAAUGCGUAGAUAUGCGGAGGAACACCGAUGGCGAAGGCAAUCCCCUGGGCCUGUACUGACGCUCAUGCACGAAAGCGUGGGGAGCAAACAGG